GGUGACCAAGUUUCCCAUUAUGCAGAUAAAAUCAACAGAAGAGAAUAUUUCUGAUCAGACGUAAAAGAGUCUAUCUGUAUUAAGGUCUCUCUUUUUAUGUUAAUGCUAGUCAGCUGUGCCUAAAUUCCAAUGGGAGGAGGGUAUAAUGAGGCAUGUCUGAACCUCACUUCACAUCAUGGCUUGAACUAGCUUUUCAGGUUAACUUUGGAAUGCCCUUGGCCAAGAGGGUGGGGUCCAUUGGCCAGUUGUGGACUUAGAAUUUUAUUUUUGGUUUAUGUUAGUAUUAGUCACACCCAGCUCUUUUGAUUUUACUCUUUUUCCCUUUUCCCCCUCUUUCUGGUUCCAAAGACAGCUUUCCUGCAGCACUUCCCUUAUUUUGAAAUUAUUUUUACAAGUCUGUGUUUCCUACAAGGGUAAACUCCUGAAAGACAUGGUCUUUUUUUCUUUUAACCUGGAAAUGGCUCCUAGGCACAAUUAAGACAAGACUAACUCAUUAAUAUGCCUAAAGGAAGAGUCCAGAAGGGGUGUAAGGGGCAUAGAUAUUCACAGAAAGCAGAGACAGAGAAAACACACAAAAAAAUGUUGACCCUCUCAGAUGAGGAGAGGUUCUUUCUGACUACCUCAAGCUACCUUAUUACUUUUUUAAUUUGUAGAGAUGAGGUUUCACUACAUUGCCCAGGCUGGUUGAACUUCUGGGCUCAAGCGAUCCUCCCACCUCAGCCUCCCAAGUAGCUGGGAUUAUAGUAAGUGUGCACCACAAACACAUGGCUAAUUGUUUAAUUUUUUUUUUGUGGAGGUGAGGGUCUCACCGUGUUGCCCAGGCUGGUCUUGAACUCCUGGGGUCAAGUAAUCCUCUCACCUCAGCCUCCCAAAGUGCUGGGAUUUACAGGCAUGAGUCACUGCACCUGGCCUUAGAAUAGGAAUGUUUCUCAAGAACCACAGAUCCCUGCCACUUCAAUCAUUUGAUGACUGAGCGAAUGUCUCUCAAAUUUAGAGCCUCCUUUGAAGACCUGCCUGGGAGAAACGAAUGGGUCUACUUUGCAAAAAGGAGCUAUGAUUCCUGUGGUGAAUAGGAAAAUCAAUCAGCAUUUCUGUUUGUACACUGGCUUAGGGAAAGGCAACUGAGUCCCUACAAGUUGGUUCUGCCCACCUUCUGUUGACAUACACCAGUCUGUGAGUCUUCAAUGACUUCAGUAACCUCACUGAGGGAGCUGGCCCCAUGUCACUAUCAUGACAGUUAGCAGAUCUUUCUAAAAAAAAAAAAAAAAAACAAAACCAUGCUGGAUCUGAUUUUUCCACUCAAGAAGUGCUUUUGGGGCCUUAUCAGUCUUUCCAUUUCUCCAGAAAGCACUACAAACAAUAGUAGCAGUUUCCUUUUUUUGAAAAUUUACUCUGUGCCAGGCACAUAGUUUUGUUCCUGCCCAGAAUACCCUAUCAGUCUAUUUCAACCCUAGCCAUCCUUUAAAGCCAACCAUUUGUUUACUUACUCAACAUUUACCCAGCACUUUCUAGACGCCAAUAUAUGUGGCAAUGUUGAGUUGAGUGAGACGCAGCUACAGUCCUCAGGAGCUCACCGUGUAAUGAGGCAGAAACAGAAACUCUCUAAUGAAAUAGUGCAUAAUGAUAGAGAGACGAACGGGAUCCUGUGGGAUACAGAGGGUCAUAUAACCCAGCUUUGCAAGGGAGGCUGAUUCGAGAGGCUUCGUGGAGGAGGUGACACAUGAGCUGAAUAGGAGAGAGACUGUGGAGAAAGGCAUCCUUGAUCAAGUUAGCAAGUGGAAAACCACAGUGUGUGCAGGGUAAAAUGAGCAGUGGUUCCACAUGUUUAUGGAGGACAGGUAAAAAGCCAGAGUCUACAUCCCAGAGGGAGAGAAGAGAUUCAACUGUUCCCCCAGUCUUACUUUCCAUGCAACUUGUGUGGUGUGAGCAUCCUGCCUCUGCACUUAAAGUGCCUAAAAGAUACAUCAUUAUAUGAAAUAUCUUCCAAGUACAAGCCUGCUGUUUCAUCUUUGGGGACAACCAAAGAAACAGAAAUCUGCCCCAGUAUUGGAGGGAAAACUAAUCAUGCUAGCCCUUUGUAGAGAUGCAGGAGGAAGACUGUGUACCUGAUGAGCAUUUAAAGGAUUUUCUCAGGUAAUUUAAAUGUUGCACAUCUUUGCUUAGACUUCAGAGCCAACCUCCUCCCGCUGCCAUGCAGUUCAAGGGCUUGUCGAUGUGUUCACCUGCAUUUUGAAAUUUUUCCCAAUGAGACUGUUAAUUGUAUUGAGGAUGGGUCCUAUCCCUGAGACAAUGCACUUGCAUUUUUUCUGUAGAAGAAAUCCUCUAGAAUGCACAGUAGGCUGACUGGUUUUGAUGAGAUACCAGUGAGGGUGGCUUUAAUUUAAGCAACAUGUAUACAAUAACAUAUUCCACCAGAACUAGCAAUAUUGUCAGGUUACAGGUUUUCAGGGCUCAGGAUACCACUAGUGGCCCACUUGCAGGGUCAGAACACACACUGGAAGUUCCCAAUUGCUUCUUCAUUUACACAAGUUCUGUAGAAGAAACUAUCAAUGACAAAGCAGUGACAUAUGGUGGUGAAGACACUCCCUGCACCAGACUAAAAGUUUCAGUACCACGGCCAGGUGGGGAAUUAAAAGAAGGAAAAACCUUGUAAACUUGAUGUUAGAGUCAGAGAAGGGAUGAUCCAAUGCCUACAAUAUGAGCUGAGGGCCAAGAAUAUUUAUUAUUUCUUUUACUGUUAGUUCAAAUGUGAAUUUCCUCUGCUCAACUCCAGACACUCAACUCCAAUUUUCUGACAGUAACCAUUGUAAAAAAAUAUUGCCACCAUCUUUGUCUUUUGGGCUUAUAAGUGGACUAAGUUCUUAUGCUUGGUUAGGUAGAAUCUUUUCAGUGACCUGAAAAUGAAGGCAUAUGCAAAUAUCUUUAAAAUAGUCUUUUUGAAGCUGCACAGAAAGGAAGAGUCGAGAGAUCCUUCUGCGGUAGUAUUGAUUCCUCCCUCCCUCCCAACCAAGCCAGAUCUUCAGCAGGGAGCUGGAAUUGGGUUUCCAGAAUAAGAGGAUUGUAUCCUAACAGUUCUGGAACUACAUGGGGUGACAUUCUCAUUCAGGUGCCACCCAAGGUUUGAUGACAUCUGUAACAAGUCUGCUGAGAGGACAGCACAGAAGUCCCUUCAGAGGAAAAAGGCAAUAAGAAUGCAGCAUCAAGAUCCUGAUUUAUCGUGUUCGCAUUUACCUGCCAGUCUCCUUGGAUACGCCUCUCUGUUGCAGGGUAGGGGUUUUGGUUAGAAAUUCUGCUCACAUGCCGGGGUUGGUAGCUGCAUAAUUGAACAGCACAGAACUACCCAGGGAAGCUGGAGAAUGUUGAUUGCUCCCAGAUGGAUGGCCAGGGGGGCACCUGGAGGACCACAGGGUCUUAAAGGGCACUCAAAGCAAGCUACUGUUCUUCCUCACUUCUCACUGGAGCACAAGGUGUUUUGCUGCCUGCAGAAGGCAGAGAUUUGUCAGAACUCCCUUCUGACCUUUAUUAUUGAUGAAGCGAUAGCAGAUGGGUGGCCUACGUCUGACCCAACAGCUUACUAAUCCAUAUGUGCCCACUCUGCUUACUAAUCCAUACGUGCCUGCCUUCACUCUGCAUUAGGCCAAUUCACCCACCCAGGCCUGGGUGAAUGCAGGUCUAGACCAUUGUUUUGGAUUAUAGUAUCCCCCCAAAUUCACAUCAACCUGGGCCUCAGAAUGUGACCUUAUUUGGAAAUAGGGUCUUUGUAGAUGUGAUUAGUUAAGACGGGGCCAUUCUGGAUCAGGGUGAGCCUCAGAUUCAAUGACUAGUGUCUUUAAGAGAUAGCAGAGAGACAUUCAUGGAGAAGAAGCCAUGCCAAGAUGAGAGAAGAUUGGAGGGAUGUAGCUAUGAGCCAAGGAAGGCCAAAGCUUGCCAGGAGCCCCCAGAAGCCAGGGGAGAGGCAUGGAAUAGAUUCUCCCAGAAUCUUCCAGAAGGAAUCAACUCUGCUGACAACCUUGAUUUCGGACUUACAGCCUCCAGGACUGUGAGAGAAUGCAUUUCUUAGUUUUAGGCCAUCCAGUUUGUGGUAACUUGUUUUGGCAAUCCUAGGACACUAAUGCAACAGUCAAGGACAAUGAUGCUGCCAGGGGCUACAGAGUGAAAAUAAAGGGAAGGACAGAGCCAGGGACGCCCUGGUCCGCUCUAAACUCACCAGGAAGAUAAAUUACUUUUGAAGGGGAUCGGGGUGGGAACUUCAUGGAGCUCACUGAGGGGGAGACUUGAAGCAGGCCUUCCCCCAAUAUUAUCACUAAUAAAAAUCACACUGGAAGAGGAAAGCUUUCAUGAAAGCUUUAAUUUUGACUAAGCUAGAGUCCCUAUGGAAUGAACAUUCACUCGUACCUCUCUCCUCACUUGUUGGAAAAUAGGUAAAUGAGCUUAUCUCAAGUCCUUAAUUAGAACAUAACCACGUGCAAGGGAGAUCUCUUAUCAGCAUAGAUGUUUUUACCCACAGUUUAAUGUUUGUACUGUUAGUUUUGAGAAGACGACCACAACUAUUCAAAAGGACAUGCCAGACACCUUAGUAAGUCACAUGCAAAUUGGCUAAAAUUACUAAGGCAGGAAAGACCACUAAUAAAUGUUGCAUCUUCAACCACAAGUCUAGGUAUGGCCUAGUAAGUAGGAUUACUCAAUUAAGCAGAGCAAAUAUUUGCCUUGAAAAUUGUAGUUAAUCAAAUUCCACUUCUGUCCAAGCCAAACUGAGGGUAGAACCAAUUCCAGAUGACACAGAGCAGAGAGACGGAGUCUGGUGGCAUUGCCUGAGGCCUGAGUGAAGCUGUGCCUGAACCCAUCUCUGCCUACUGCCUUUUUAAAGAACUAGACAUCUGUGCAGAAGGCUGAGUUCAUCAUCAUCCUCAGAUCAUGGCACUGUAUGCAAAAUCUCUUCAUCUCUGAUUAACUCUUACCCUUCUCCCCUUUCCCCAUUUCUUCCUACGGGCAAUCACUCUAAUAUGGUUAAUAUGGGACUUUGUCUGCAGUGGUUGUAAGCAUUUCUAAUUUAUUCAAAUAAUUUUAUCAUAUCUUCUUUCUUUUACUUUUGUCACUGAGCACCAUGUCUCUGAGGUCUUUCCAUGAUGCUACUGUGGUUAACAGCUUUCUAACUGCUUCUCAUUACUGCAUACUUCUCCAUGGUGUGUAUUCACUGUGUUUUUUCAUAUCUAUACCCCGCAACCACCAUCACAAAAUCCCCUGACAGCAAUGAACAUGCUGUAUGUGUCUCCUGUGGAGCUAUGUAACAGUUUCCUUGGGUCAUAACAUUAGCAGUGGGAUUGCUGGGUCUGAGGAGACACUUGAUUUGACUAAGUGAUGGCUAAUUUCUCUGGGUAAUGGAUGUCAGUCUACUUUUCCAAUGGCGAGGGUUCUUGUAUCUGUAUUUGCCACCCAAGGGUUCUUGUAUCUCUGUUUGCCACUAGCACUUAACAUUAUUGAGGUUUCUAAUUUUUGCUGGUCAAAUUUUAAAAAGGUAAUAUGUCAUGUUUUUAUUUAUUUUUUUGAGACAGGGUCACACUCUGGAGUACAGUAGUAUGAAUAUGGUUCACUGCGGCCUUGACCCCCAGGGCUCAAGUGUUCCUCCCACCACAGCCUCCCCAGUAGCUGGGACCACAGGUGUGCACCACCACAUUCAGCUAAGUUUUAAAAUUUUUGUAGAGAUGGGGGUCUCAAUAUGUUGCCCAGGCAGGUCUCCAGCUCCUGGACUCAGACAGUCCUCCUGCCUAUGCCUCCCAAAGUACUGGGAUUAGAGGUGUGGGCCACCGCACCUAGUCUCAUAUUUUUUUAAUUGGCAUUUCAUUAAUUACGAAUAACUUGCAACAUCUCUCCAUAUACCUGUAAGUAUUUGGGGUUACCCCUUCUAUAAACUGCCUGUUCAUAUUCAUCACCCAUUUUUCUACUGGGGCUGCUUUCUUCUUGUUGGUUCACAAGUGUUCCAUAUGUAGUAUGGUAUUUAACCCCUUGUUGGUUUUAGAAAUUGAAGAUAUUUCCCUUUUUCUUUAAUCUACCCAUUAGCUUUGUCCACAGUGUCCUUUGUGGAUCAGAGAUCCUUAAUUUUAAUGGAAUUCUGGCCUGCAGAAUUCUAUUUUUUUUUCUUUUGGUCUGCAGAAUUCUAAAGAUGUCAUCCCAAGAUUUCGUUUCUCUGAUUAUCUAAUCAAACACUAACCUAGGUACUGCAGAGAAGAAACUUUGCUGAUUUAUAUAAGGUUAGGACUUUAAAAUGGAGAUUAUCCUGGAUAAUUUGGGUAAGCCCAAUCUCAUCACUUGAGUCCUUAAAAGCAGUGAAAUGUCUCCAGCUGGCAUCCAAGAGUUGUAGGAGGACAGAUGGAGAAGGAGCAAACAGAGGUGUGAAUCAUGAGAAGGGCUUGCCUGAAUGUUGCCGGCUUGAAAGACUGAGGAAGGAGGCCACGAACCAAGCAUUGGCUAUGGCCUCUAGAAGCUGGGAAGGGCCCCUGGGCUGGUAGCCAGCAAGGAAACAGGGGCCUUAGUCCCACAGUUGCCGGGAACUGAAUUUGGCCAACAACCGGAAGGAGCCCGGAAGCAGAUUCUCUUCCAGAGCUUCCAGAUAAGAGCCCAUACCAGCUGGCACCUUGAUAUUAGCCUGGUGAGAGCCUAAGAAAAGUGCCCAGCUGAGCCCACUGGGUUUGACCUGCAAAACUGUGAGAUAGUAAAUGAGAGUCAAUCAAUUUGUGAUAAUUUGUAUGGCAGCAAGAGGAAACUAAUAGAGAAAUCAUACUUGUCAAUCUUUUGCCUUAUGGUUUAUGUGUCUGGAUUUUUUUUUCAAGUUUUUUCUUACCCCUGUGCAUGCAUGAAUUUUCAGCCUUGUAGGGUGUUAUUGCCCCUGCCAUGAGGGUGAAAAUUGGUUCUUGGGAGGUGAAAAAAACCCAACUCUUUAAAGCACAGAUAUCUAUAUCUAUAUAUCUAUAUCUAUAUAUGCACAAUAUAUAUAUAAAUAGGAAACCAACAUAACUGGCAUUAACAUCCCCCCUGGAGGGUUACAUUUAGGAAGAAAAAGUCUUAAAUAAAUAAAAUGUAGAAGAAUAUCACUGUGACAUGGGGCCAGUGUUUUGCAACCUUCUUUUAAUUAUCACCUAAAACUCAUAAAAACUCCUAAGAAGUUUUUUUUAAGACUUUUUUUAAUCCCAGGAGAGUAGCUGGGAUUACAGGCGUGUGCCACCAUGCCCGGCUAAUUUUUGUGUUUUUACGAGAGACAGGGUUUCACCACGUUGGCCAGGCUGGUCUCGAACUCCCAACCUCAGGCUUUCCACCCGCCUCGGCCUCCCAAACUCCUGGGAUUACAGGUGUGAGCCAUGGCACUCGGACUUCUUGUGCUUUUUAUUUUGUAUUUUAUUAACAUUUGUGUUUACAAUUUCUUUUGAGGGUCAAGUGGUGAGUUGUGAAGAUGAUGUAUGAUGUGAUGGAGGAAAGUUCCAGGUCUAGACCUACAGACAGUCCUGGUAAAAUCAGUGAUGGAAAAUCACACAUAGGACCUGAAACUGAAGUCAUCAAUGAGGAAUUACAGUUUCUAUGGACUGAAUGCCUGUAUCUCUGGCCAAAAUUCACAUAUGAAGCCCUACCUAACCCCAGUGUAAUAGUAUCUGGAGGUGGGGGCUUUGGGAGGUGAUUAGGUCAUGAGGGUGGACCCCUCAUGAACGGGAUUCGUGUCCUUAUAAAAAUGGACACUGAGAGAGAUAAUCUCUCUCCCUCUGUUACAAGCGAAUACAGCAAGAAGGCAGCCAUUUGCAAACUCGGAAAAGAGUUCUUACCAUCUAUGCUGGCAUCCUGAUCUCAGACUUCCAGCCUCAAGAACUCUGAGGAAUAAAUGCUGUUUAAGCCACCCAAUCUAUGGUAUUUUUGUUAUAGCAGCCAGAAGUGACUAAGGCGACAGUCUUCAGGACACAGAGAAGCUGCUCCUUGUGAUGAAAGCCACUCUUCAAUGAGCUUUGUGCAGGCUGGUGAUCCACGUGGUCCUACCCCCCCUCCACCUGCCCCACCGUGUGUCUCUGUGGCAAACAACUCACAAGUGCAACAGUGGCCUGGCAGACUGAAAACACACUGACCUACAGGCCACUGCUAUUGGUAAGGAAAGAAAAUGCAAGAAUGCUUGGAAAAAAAAAGACCCAAAUACCAAAAUUUGGACAAACUAAACAAGUAAAAGAAGAAGUGGCAGAAAGAAAACUUAGACUUCUUGAAAUAAUUAAUGAAAGGAUGUUUUGAAAUAGCAAGUUUGUCCAGUAUAGGUAUAAUGAAAUUUGAUUUACCAAAAUUCCAUUUUUUUCCAAGAAUUUGUGGUAUAACAUGAAGCUUACCUUUCACAGCCAAGGCAAGGUCAUCCCCCCCUUGGAGGACAUGGUGCUGCUGAUGACUCUUGAGACAUCUCAACCUACAGUGGCUUCAAAACUUAUGCCUUCAGCUCUGCCUCCUCCCCACUCCCAAGCUUCAAACUCAAAUAUUCAGCUGCCUGCCUGUCUAUAGAUCCUCUUGGAUGUAUAAUAGCAUCUCAGCUCCAGCAUAACCAAAAGAUAACUCUUGAUUUUCACCCAAAUCUUGUUUUUGGUUUUUUUCCCCUUAGUCUUUACCACUUCCUUAAAUGGCAACACCUAUUCAAUUGCUCAAGC
RNAcentral lists this long non-coding RNA (8660 nucleotides) under Homo sapiens (human). RNAcentral's name for it is "HSALNT0194279". Lineage: Eukaryota; Metazoa; Chordata; Mammalia; Primates; Hominidae. The record is from RNAcentral.